GGUGAGCGGCUGUAUCCACUUAUCCAGGCCUUGCAUCCGACUCUUGCUGGAAAGAUCACAGGCAUGCUGCUGGAGAUCGACAACUCUGAACUACUGCACAUGCUCGAGUCUCCAGAAUCCCUGCACUCCAAGGUUGAAGAGGCUGUAGCUGUUCUUCAGGCUCAUCAAGCCAAGGGCCUGUCUGCAAAGUAAAGGGGCUCUGUAAGACUGAAAUGCAUGCACACUGAAUGUCUAUAUAUUGUUCUUGAGAAUGGGGGAAAAGAAAACGGCACUACAGAGUCAUAUUAUUAAUGCAUGAUUUGCACACUACAAAUGUCCUCUUGCUGUCCACAGGGUUUUUGAUUUUGUUUAUUAAAAGUAAA
Molecule: long non-coding RNA, 362 nt
Organism: Carassius gibelio (silver crucian carp)
Lineage: Eukaryota; Metazoa; Chordata; Actinopteri; Cypriniformes; Cyprinidae
Exons: 3
Source: RefSeq, a predicted model, not a curated record